UACAUGUGAGGCAAGCGUUGUUCGGAAUUACUGGGCAUAAAGGGUGCGUAGGCGGUUUGUUAAGUCACAGGUGAAAGUUUUCGGCCCAACCGGAAAAUUGCCUGCGAUACUGGCGAACUUGAGUGCGUGAGGGGUUGGGGGAACGAGCAGUGUAGCGGUGAAAUGCGUAGAUAUUGCUCGGAAGGCCGGAGCCGAAGGGGCCCAACUGGUGCGCAACUGACGCUGAUGCACGAAAGCGUGGGGAGCAAACAGG
Molecule: ribosomal RNA, 253 nt
Filed under: uncultured bacterium
Lineage: Bacteria
Description: partial 16S ribosomal RNA
Rfam family: Bacterial small subunit ribosomal RNA
Source: RNAcentral